GCAGUCGCACGAGAACUCUUUAGCUUGCUAAAGAUAGUAAAAUGGCGCACGGGUGAGUAACGCGUGGGUAAUCUACCUUCGAAUCGGGGAUAACAUUGCGAAAGCGAUGCUAAUACCGGAUAAUAUCCCAAAAGCUCCGGAUUUUGAGAUCAAAGGUGGCCUCUACAUGUAAGCUUCUGUUUGAAGAUGAGCCCGCGUACCAUUAGCUUGUUGGUAGGGUAAUGGCCUACCAAGGCAACGAUGGUUAGCUGGUCUGAGAGGAUGAUCAGCCACACUGGAACCGACACACGGUCCAGACUCCUACGGGAGGCAGCAGUGAGGAAUUUUGCGCAAUGGGGGAAACCCUGACGCAGCAACGCCGCGUGAGUGAUGAAGGCUUUCGGGUCGUAAAACUCUGUCAAGUGGGAAGAAACCGUUUGAUGUUAAUACCAUCAAGCAUUGACGGUACCACUGAAGGAAGCACCGGCUAACUCCGUGCCAGCAGCCGCGGUAAUACGGGGGGUGCAAGCGUUAUUCGGAAUUAUUGGGCGUAAAGAGCGCGUAGGCGGUCUUUUAAGUCAGAUGUGAAAGCCCGGGGCUUAACCCCGGAAGUGCAUUUGAAACUAAGGGACUUGAGUAUGGGAGAGGGAAGUGGAAUUCCUGGUGUAGCGGUGAAAUGCGUAGAUAUCAGGAGGAACACCGGUGGCGAAGGCGACUUCCUGGAACCAAUACUGAACGCCUGAGGCGCGAA
Molecule: ribosomal RNA, 730 nt
Filed under: uncultured Desulfobacteraceae bacterium
Lineage: Bacteria; Pseudomonadati; Thermodesulfobacteriota; Desulfobacteria; Desulfobacterales; Desulfobacteraceae
Description: bacterial SSU rRNA
Rfam family: Bacterial small subunit ribosomal RNA
Source: RNAcentral